Molecule: non-coding RNA, 488 nt
Organism: Balearica regulorum gibbericeps (East African grey crowned-crane)
Lineage: Eukaryota; Metazoa; Chordata; Aves; Gruiformes; Gruidae
Source: RefSeq, a predicted model, not a curated record
GUCACUUCAUGGGGAAGAAGAGUGUCACCGGCUCCCCGCACCUGGAGUCGCCAGAAGAGCCUGCGGUGCCGAUGGUCUUCGGUCCCUCUCUCAGAGCCUUGCUGGAGGACAUGAUGGAACUGCUUACCCGUGAGCUCCUGAAAAUUCUCUUGCAAGAGAGACUUUUGGAUGAAAACCAAGGAAAAUAUGACCUCACUGACCAGGAGACAGGGCUUUUAACAAAGGUGCUGGAGAAGUAUUUUUCAAACUGAAGAAGCGCAGCUGUGGAGGAUGAGGUCUGCAGGCUCGGCCACGCGAGGCAAACGGAGGAGAGCAUCGUCCUUGUGGGUUACUGUAGCAACAUCACUUUUAUUUAUUCUUUCUGUAAUAUUGUUAAUAGUGAUUGCUUGUAUGAAAAGCAGAGCCUCCCUGUAUAUUUCCUGUAUGUUUUCUGCUUUCUUGAUGUCUGGUGUGCCCCUGUGAAUAAAACUGGCUCUUUGCAGAGACUA